UCGGAAGUAGCUCAGCUUGGUAGAGCACAUGGUUUGGACAUGGGGUCGCAGGUUCGAAUCCUGUCUUCCCGACCA
RNAcentral lists this transfer RNA (75 nucleotides) under Bacillus subtilis. RNAcentral describes it as "tRNA-Gln". It matches the Rfam family "tRNA". From Rfam's summary of the family: Transfer RNA (tRNA) molecules are approximately 80 nucleotides in length. Their secondary structure includes four short double-helical elements and three loops (D, anti-codon, and T loops). The record is from RNAcentral. Lineage: Bacteria; Bacillati; Bacillota; Bacilli; Caryophanales; Bacillaceae.